AGAAGGUAAUAAUCCUGUAGUCGAAAACGAAUUCUCUCUUGAGUGGAUCCUGAGUACGACGGAGCACGUGAAAUUCCGUCGGAAUCUGGGAGGACCAUCUCCUAAGGCUAAAUACUCUCUAGUGACCGAUAGUGAACCAGUACCGUGAGGGAAAGGUGAAAAGUACCCCGGAAGGGGAGUGAAAGAGAACUUGAAACCGUGUGCUUACAAGUAGUCAGAGCCCGUUAAUGGGUGAUGGCGUGCCUUUUGUAGAAUGAACCGGCGAGUUACGAUCUGAUGCAAGGUUAAGCAGAAAAUGUGGAGCCGUAGCGAAAGCGAGUCUGAAUAGGGCGAAUGAGUAUUUGGUCGUAGACCCGAAACCAGGUGAUCUACCCUUGGUCAGGUUGAAGUUCAGGUAACACUGAAUGGAGGACCGAACCGACUUACGUUGAAAAGUGAGCGGAUGAACUGAGGGUAGCGGAGAAAUUCCAAUCGAACUUGGAGAUAGCUGGUUCUCUCCGAAAUAGCUUUAGGGCUAGCCUCAAGUGAUGAUUAUUGGAGGUAGAGCACUGUUUGGACGAGGGGCCCCUCUCGGGUUACCGAAUUCAGACAAACUCCGAAUGCCAAAUAAUUUAACUUGGGAGUCAGAAUGUGGGUGAUAAGGUCCAUAUUCGAAAGGGAAACAGCCCAGACCACCAGCUAAGGUCCCAAAAUAUAUGUUAAGUGGAAAAGGAUGUGGCGUUGCCCAGACAACUAGGAUGUUGGCUUAGAAGCAGCCAUCAUUUAAAGAGUGCGUAAUAGCUCACUAGUCGAGUGACACUGCGCCGAAAAUGUACCGGGGCUAAACAUAUUACCGAAGCUGUGGAUUGUCCUUUGGACAAUGGUAGGAGAGCGUUCUAAGGGCGUUGAAGCAUGAUCGCAAGGACAUGUGGAGCGCUUAGAAGUGAGAAUGCCGGUGUGAGUAGCGAAAGACGGGUGAGAAUCCCGUCCACCGAUUGACUAAGGUUUCCAGAGGAAGGCUCGUCCGCUCUGGGUUAGUCGGGUCCUAAGCUGAGGCCGACAGGCGUAGGCGAUGGAUAACAGGUUGAUAUUCCUGUACCACCAUUAUUCGUUUUAAGCGAUGGGGGGACGCAGUAGGAUAGGCGAAGCGUGCUGUUGGAGUGCACGUCCAAGCAGU
This 1156-nucleotide ribosomal RNA is filed under the name Staphylococcus pseudintermedius. RNAcentral describes it as "partial 23S ribosomal RNA". It matches the Rfam family "Bacterial large subunit ribosomal RNA", at positions 359 to 1520 of the family's 2925-position model. Lineage: Bacteria; Bacillati; Bacillota; Bacilli; Caryophanales; Staphylococcaceae. The record is from RNAcentral.